RNAcentral lists this transfer RNA (26 nucleotides) under Goniurosaurus araneus. RNAcentral describes it as "partial tRNA-Asn". The record is from RNAcentral. Lineage: Eukaryota; Metazoa; Chordata; Lepidosauria; Squamata; Eublepharidae.
ACGGGGUCGAGGCCCGUCAGUCUAUU